Molecule: long non-coding RNA, 1812 nt
Filed under: Daphnia pulicaria
Lineage: Eukaryota; Metazoa; Arthropoda; Branchiopoda; Diplostraca; Daphniidae
Description: uncharacterized LOC124319002, transcript variant X5
Source: RNAcentral
GACAACAGAGCCAGCAGACGUGAGGCGCGAUAAUGGCAUAGAAUGGUAAACACGUUUUCCUUUGGCUGCCUGAUACUUUCUUAAUCAAAUCUAAUUGCAGUGAGAUAAAUGAUAAACAAGACGUUUGAUUACUCGAUAACCAUCGAUGGAGCGUUGGAUCAUCCCAUGAAAGACUUAUCCGCUCGUCACCACUAGAGUACCAAUUAUCCAAGCAUCAAUCCGAGCAUUCAACCUGUUGCAAAGAAAUGGAUAAUCUUUUUAUCCCAUCCGAAUUGCGGAUUACCUCUACUUACAGCAAAAUGAGGAAGAUAAGAACGUCUCGCCUUUGAUGGAUUGAGUGCAAACUCGAUGGCAGCCAAAGGGGAGGCCCAUUCCUGCUCGGUGGGAGAAGCCACCCCAGUGAAAACUACUCGUCCUCCUCGACGAUUCUGGUACUUGAUGAGCUUCCGAACAUGGCCACUUUCUUCUUCAGCUGACUCUUGAAAGUAUUUGGAGAAGCCGUUCAUGGCUACAUCAUCGCGAUCGUAAAAGGCGCUCUAAAUUCAAACGUUGGAAAAGGGAAAACCCUGUGACAGUAGAUCCGGGAAGAGGAGUUCCUCCGCUUGCCUUAUUACUUCAUGGGAAAAUCCUUUGCAGAUUUUGUGCAGUUCUAUACUCCAGCCGCGUGACUAUUCGUCAUUUUAUUUUUCCAACUGACUGGCAGUGCUUUCCCCCGAGAGAACACAUGUCUGUCCUACCUCAUAAUAGUAGGUUUUCAGGUGAGAUUCCUUAUUUGACUUCCUGGACAUGUCUUGUCGCUUAAAAUGGAUGGAGUUUCUCCUAUCCACACCGCUUCCGCCGCUGGAUCACUUGGCGAUCGAAAUUUGUUCGACAGUUGGGAAAUGGACGUUUGAAAGUUCCCGCCAGGAUUAUACUCAAAAGAUUAUGAUGGGUUAUGAAAUGGAUCAUCUCGUCAAACAACCUCCGCCUCCAACCAUGGCAUAACCUAAGCCCAGUCUAAUCCCAUAAUCCUCCGACGCCACAUUUUGAAAGAGAUGGAUAAUCCAUUUGCGGAUGUGGCGGCAGGAAGUGUUUGACAGGAUUUCUUCAGCUACUCCGACCAAUGAGGAAGAAGGUCACUUUCACGAAACUAAAACGGUUGGAAAAAACUGAAACCCAAACAUCCACACCCACACAACAACAACAACUACUACUACUACUCCGUUCUCUGUCGUCUGGACAUCUCGCUACUUCCCAAAAGAUUACUAUCCAGUGGGUCCCGCUUUGAAAUCAUCUUCCGGAUCGGGUCGUCAGUGCCACUUUUACGACGAAAUCCAGCUGGCGCUACUGGAUGCGGAGUUUAUCAAUGAUUCGUUUCCUAAUCGAGAAAGUCGUCGUCGCAUCGCCCAGUUGAUUGGCGUCUCUGAAAUUCAAUUAUGUGGUGGUUUCAGAAUCGCCGUCGACGUGCUCGUCAAAUUGGAUCAAGAGCCGCAACUUCAACUUUAGAAACAAAUCGCCAACAUUCUCGAUCAUCGCCUUACGCCUUUCGUCAACGCCAACACUGUGUGACGGUUGCCCUUGGCAACACUGGAUCAGACGCUAGCGAUCGGCCUUUUUGUGACGGACGAUAGAUAUUUGCUGGAGCAGUUGAAAACCGAGUGCGAAAAUUUUAUGGUUCGUCGAAUGUCUGCUGCAAAUUGUGUCGAAUUGUUUUUACUCCCUGAUAACCAUCCGGUUGAGCAUUUGAAAACGUUGGCGGUCCAUCAUUUCCGGCGUUUCUCGGCCCAAGUCUUGGCAACUGAUGACUGGAUAUAGCAGCGUAACAAAUCAAUU